GACGGGGCCCGCACAAGCGGUGGAGCAUGUGGUUUAAUUCGAUGCAACGCGAAGAACCUUACCUGGUCUUGACAUCCCGGAGACCCUUAGGAAACUAGGGGUGCUUCCAUCUGGAAGAAUCUGGAGACAGGUGCUGCAUGGCUGUCGUCAGCUCGUGUCGUGAGAUGUUGGGUUAAGUCCCGCAACGAGCGCAACCCUUGCCUUUAGUUGCCAGCAGUUCGGCUGGGCACUCUAAAGGGACUGCCGGUGUUAAACCGGAGGAAGGUGGGGAUGACGUCAAGUCCUCAUGGCCUUUAUGACCAGGGCUACACACGUACUACAGUGGCCGAUACAAAGGGCAGCGACACUGCGAGGUGAAGCCAAUCCCGUAAAAUCGGUCUCAGUCCGGAUUGGAGUCUGCAACUCGACUCCAUGAAGUUGGAAUCGCUAGUAAUCGUGGAUCAGCAUGCCACGGUGAAUACGUUCCCGGGCCUU
This 474-nucleotide ribosomal RNA is filed under the name uncultured Desulfobulbus sp. Its description in RNAcentral is "bacterial SSU rRNA". It matches the Rfam family "Bacterial small subunit ribosomal RNA", at positions 916 to 1381 of the family's 1533-position model. Lineage: Bacteria; Pseudomonadati; Thermodesulfobacteriota; Desulfobulbia; Desulfobulbales; Desulfobulbaceae. The record is from RNAcentral.